RNAcentral lists this ribosomal RNA (231 nucleotides) under uncultured Staphylococcus sp. Its description in RNAcentral is "partial 16S ribosomal RNA". It matches the Rfam family "Bacterial small subunit ribosomal RNA", at positions 109 to 334 of the family's 1533-position model. Lineage: Bacteria; Bacillati; Bacillota; Bacilli; Caryophanales; Staphylococcaceae. The record is from RNAcentral.
AGUAACACGUGGAUAACCUACCUAUAAGACUUGGAUAACUUCGGGAAACCGGAGCUAAUACCGGAUAAUAUUUUGAACCGCAUGGUUCAAAAGUGAAAGACGGUCUUGCUGUCACUUAUAGAUGGAUCCGCGCUGCAUUAGCUAGUUGGUAAGGUAACGGCUUACCAAGGCAACGAUGCAUAGCCGACCUGAGAGGGUGAUCGGCCACACUGGAACUGAGACACGGUCCAG